RNAcentral lists this long non-coding RNA (510 nucleotides) under Coturnix japonica (Japanese quail). Its description in RNAcentral is "lncRNA (ENSCJPG00005018666.1)". The record is from RNAcentral. Lineage: Eukaryota; Metazoa; Chordata; Aves; Galliformes; Phasianidae.
CAGUGAUGCCACAGAGAUGCCACCCACCAGAACAAAGGACAUGGCGAUCAAUUUCAGGUUACUGCAGUGAGUCAGCAGCUUUUAUCAGAACCAGCCCUAGGAUCAGUGUUCCCUGGAUGUAACUCUCAUGCUCACUCAGCUCUUCAGGAGCAAAGAGGAACAACAUACAUAUAGGCACCUCAUUUACACAAACACAACGAUGAGAGGAAAUCUGCUGAGAAAGAUCAAGUCACACUCAAAAGUGACAACCUUUUCUAGAAGCCCCAGGCACACAUCCUGAAGAACAAAGAUGCUGAGAAAAUAACCACGGCUUUGGCAAUAAGGAAGAAGAAAGGACGCUGCAGAAGCUUCACGUGGCACAAUCAGCAAUACAUGUCAUUUGUCAUGAAACAGGCUGUCAUGUCACCGAGUGUGUGCAAAUGAGGACUGAGCACCUCCCAGAGCCAGGGAGCACUUGCACACCGGCUGCGAGAUUUAGAACUUGUUAUAAAGAAUUGAAACACACACAAA